AUUGAACGCUGGCGGCGUGCUUAACACAUGCAAGUCGUGCGGUAACAGGCGUAGCAAUACGUGCUGACGAGCGGCGAACGGGUGCGUAAUACAUGGGAAUCUGCCCUUUAGUGGGGAAUAACCCGGCGAAAGCCGGGCUAAUGCCGCAUAAGAUCUUCGGAUGAAAGCGGGGGAUCGUAAGACCUCGCGCUGAUGGAUGAGCCCAUGCCGGAUUAGCUAGUUGGUGAGGUAACGGCUCACCAAGGCGACGAUCCGUAGCUGGUCUGAGAGGACGGCCAGCCACACUGGGACUGAGACACGGCCCAGACUCCUACGGGAGGCAGCAGUGGGGAAUAUUGGACAAUGGGGAAACCCUGAUCCAGCGA
This 365-nucleotide ribosomal RNA is filed under the name uncultured bacterium. Its description in RNAcentral is "bacterial SSU rRNA". It matches the Rfam family "Bacterial small subunit ribosomal RNA", at positions 30 to 394 of the family's 1533-position model. The record is from RNAcentral.